GUGUGCCAGCAGCCGCGGUAAUACGUAGGGGGCAAGCGUUAUCCGGAUUUACUGGGUGUAAAGGGAGCGUAGGUGGCAUGGCAAGUCAGAUGUGAAAACCCAGGGCUCAACCCUGGGACUGCAUUUGAAACUGUCAGGCUGGAGUGCAGGAGAGGUAAGUGGAAUUCCUAGUGUAGCGGUGAAAUGCGUAGAUAUUAGGAGGAACACCAGUGGCGAAGGCGGCUUACUGGACUGUAACUGACACUGAGGCUCGAAAGCGUGGGGAGCAAACAGGAUUAGAUACCCUAGUAGUCCGG
RNAcentral lists this ribosomal RNA (296 nucleotides) under uncultured bacterium. RNAcentral's name for it is "partial 16S ribosomal RNA". It matches the Rfam family "Bacterial small subunit ribosomal RNA", at positions 503 to 798 of the family's 1533-position model. The record is from RNAcentral.